UACGAAGGGGGCUAGCGUUGUUCGGAUUUACUGGGCGUAAAGCGCACGUAGGCGGACUUUUAAGUCAGGGGUGAAAUCCCAGAGCUCAACUCUGGAACUGCCUUUGAUACUGGAAGUCUUUGAGUAUGGAAGAGGUUGGUGGAACUGCGAGUGUAGAGGUGAAAUUCGUAGAUAUUCGCAAGAACACCAGUGGCGAAGGCGGCUCACUGGCCCGGUACUGACGCUGAGGUGCGAAAGCGUGGGGAGCAAACAGG
RNAcentral lists this ribosomal RNA (254 nucleotides) under uncultured bacterium. RNAcentral describes it as "partial 16S ribosomal RNA". It matches the Rfam family "Bacterial small subunit ribosomal RNA", at positions 524 to 776 of the family's 1533-position model. The record is from RNAcentral.